AGCCUGAUGCAGCCAUGCCGCGUGUGUGAAGAAGGCCUUCGGGUUGUAAAGUCAGCAGUGAGGAAGGCGUGGUGGUUAAUACCCACCCGUUUGACGUUAGCUGCAGAAGAAGCACCGGCUAACUCCGUGCCAGCAGCCGCGGUAAUACGGAGGGUGCGAGCGUUAAUCGGAAUUACUGGGCGUAAAGCGCAUGCAGGCGGUUUGUUAAGCAAGAUGUGAAAGCCCCGGGCUCAACCUGGGAACCGCAUUUUGAACUGGCAGGCUAGAGUCUUGUAGAGGGGGGUAGAAUUUCAGGUGUAGCGGUGAAAUGCGUAGAGAUCUGAAGGAAUACCGGUGGCGAAGGCGGCCCCCUGGACAAAGACUGACGCUCAGAUGCGAAAGCGUGGGGAGCAAACAGGAUUAGAUACCCUGGUAGUCCACGCUGUAAACGAUGUCUACGUUGCGGUCUUGAACUGUGGCUUUCGGAGCUAACGCGUUAAGUAGACCGCCUGGG
RNAcentral lists this ribosomal RNA (493 nucleotides) under Photobacterium sp. 3T3,2 9. Its description in RNAcentral is "bacterial SSU rRNA". It matches the Rfam family "Bacterial small subunit ribosomal RNA", at positions 380 to 877 of the family's 1533-position model. Lineage: Bacteria; Pseudomonadati; Pseudomonadota; Gammaproteobacteria; Vibrionales; Vibrionaceae. The record is from RNAcentral.